AUGCUUAAUGCUAUCAUGCUGGCUAGCAAUGGCUACGUGUGUGUGUUUAUGCUGCUUGGGGGCUGGUCGUCGCAUAUGAUACGUGUAUUGAACAUUAUCAAAAUGAAUAUGAGAAUGGGCGCACGAGAGGAAUAUUGUGGAACAAUCCACUGGCUAACGAACUUGGCAUGGUGGAGGAUGGCCUAUCUUAUUCACCCAUCAAGAAGCUUGCUUUAUCUUGGCAAGAUCCUCAAGGAGUACAAACUAGGUAUUUGGAAAAAGGUAGUGAUACAUGUUAAAUCAGAUAGAUCAGCAGCCACAGAAAACACAGUCCCAACUGUACCACACUUCACCCCUAUUCCACUGGCCAAACCCCUAUUAGAACUGCUAAGAGCCCAGCGUCAGAUGAAUCUCCUUGCUCAAAGGAUCAUAGGAUCUCACAACAAUACUGGACACUUCAUUGCUCUUAAUAAUGGCAACGCUUAUAACGAAGUUUCUUUGAGGAAUGUAUUGAAUUAUCCUUCCAUCAACAUGGAGAAGGGCUUUGUCCAGCCCGUGUUAACAUAUAAUAGUCGUAUCUUUUAUGCCUGGCAGAACUUUGGGGAAGAUAGUGAGCCAAACCAUCUUGAUGAGAGCGAGAUGACCCCAAGGUCUUGUCUUGAUGAAGACAGUGAGUUGAAGCUACUCACCAGCAGCUAUGAGACAACCUCUGUACAGUCACCACCUCAAUCAGUUCAACUUCUUCUGUCUCAACUUAAAGCGGAAAGGCUUGCUUUAACUCAACUCUGA
RNAcentral lists this ribosomal RNA (768 nucleotides) under Triticum aestivum (bread wheat). Its description in RNAcentral is "partial small subunit ribosomal RNA". The record is from RNAcentral. Lineage: Eukaryota; Viridiplantae; Streptophyta; Magnoliopsida; Poales; Poaceae.